CACGGGGCGACGGAAUUGAGUGAAUUCAAGUUUUCAUGGUUUCCUUCAUACGCAUCCUGACGGAUGCCCAUCACGAUAGUUUAACUCCUGUGUCCUGACUUAUUCAUUAAGAACCAGAAUGACAAACCAGUCACUCCCACUGAACUGGUGUCCAGAAAAUGACACCACAAUGGGACCCCCAUACAGCAGUACAAGCACAUCUUCCAGCGAUACAAAACAAGAACAGCUUGAUGGUUACUGUGAGGCAGAGAUGACCACUGAAGGAAAUGUAAGUGGACCAACGGCAGAUAGGUUUCAUCUGUGCAGUUACCUGUCUAGCUCACCUGAGGCCUGUCUGCUGUUUGCUAUAAAUGGAGGUCAGCCUGGCUUUAGGGGGUAGAGCAGUUUAUCCAGUGGCAGCUAUCAGGCAGCCCAGGUUAAUGGUUUUAGGUGCUCUCCCUAAACAUUGAGCUUAACUCCAUCCUUUAUGUUGCCGUCAGUGUGACUGCCCGUAACACCAUAUAACACAACAUACAUCAACUUAAAUGCUUUUUGUGGAUCAGACAGUGAGAGCAAAUAAACAAGACUGAAAUGUUGUUGAGUCAUGACAAAUGAAUGUGUGAAAAGUAAAUAAAUAAACCAGCAUAAACAACAGAGGGAAUGAAGGAAAAUAAUCAAAUAGCAGACAAAUUGGAAAAAAGAAAGGGAAAAAUAUUAUAUCUAAUAAAGUAAAAUUAUAGUCUAUGACAGAUUAAGAUCUCAUCUAAUAUAAGGACAGAACUCAUAGAUUCACCCACACCUUACAUUCAGCAUACAUUAUAACAUGGUUGAUUAGAACUUCCCUCUACACGAUCACACUGUCACGACCUCUGUAGUGGCCAUGCAUAGACUGUAGGCAGCAGCGGGGAAGUUAAUUGAUCAUGACUAUAUGACGUUGAUCAUGACAGGGCUAUAAGAACUCCUGUGGAUCUUUCUCCUGCAGCUCAGCUCCUCUCUCAUUCACACAAUUCCCGCUCACCCACACAUCACCAACACGCAUCCAUACAGUAACAUAACAUUGUACCCCUAGACAUGUUCUUUUCUACCUUUAUUUGAUUGUGUUGUGUUGAUUUUAUAAAUUACCCCUUUAUUUAAAAAGCUUUGUUGUCUGUCUCCC
Molecule: long non-coding RNA, 1135 nt
Organism: Thunnus maccoyii (southern bluefin tuna)
Lineage: Eukaryota; Metazoa; Chordata; Actinopteri; Scombriformes; Scombridae
Exons: 4
Source: RefSeq, a predicted model, not a curated record